This 253-nucleotide ribosomal RNA is filed under the name uncultured bacterium. RNAcentral describes it as "partial 16S ribosomal RNA". It matches the Rfam family "Bacterial small subunit ribosomal RNA", at positions 524 to 776 of the family's 1533-position model. The record is from RNAcentral.
UACGUAGGGUGCAAGCGUUGUCCGGAAUUAUUGGGCGUAAAGAGCUCGUAGGCGGUUUGUCGCGUCUGCUGUGAAAACUCAGGGCUUAACCCUGAGCCUGCAGUGGGUACGGGCAGACUAGAGUGUGGUAGGGGAGAUCGGAAUUCCUGGUGUAGCGGUGGAAUGCGCAGAUAUCAGGAGGAACACCGGUGGCGAAGGCGGGUCUCUGGGCCGUUACUGACGCUGAGGAGCGAAAGCGUGGGGAGCGAACAGG